UGCUGCCGUCCUGGAAUGGGUGCUUUUUCUCCAAGUCUUUUAGGACUGGUUUAAAGGACGCUUGCUAGCAGUGAUGAGCAGCCAGCUUCCAGCUGUAUAAACAGAAAUUAUUAGAAUGCAUGCUAUGAAUGCUUCAUCUCUGCAUCUGUGGCUGAACUUCUACAGCUCUUUAAAAUGUCGUCACAACUAGAACUGUUCCCUGAAGACUGUGCCAGUCUACCUGUACUCUCCAGAAUGGCAAUUCCCAUAUCAGUCAGACUGGACUAAAAAAUCUUCAUAUGAAUAACAAUUCAGCCUAGCAUUUCUAUAAACUUCAUUUAGCUAAACAGAAGUGUUUGUGUCAGUGUUUCUGCUCCAGGAAUGUGUCUCUCUCUUAUUUUUUUCCUCUGCCUUUCAAGUAUUCAUUGGUUAAGAAAUCUGACUUGCCUUCACUUAAACAUUAGAUGACUUAAAAGGAGAAUUUUGUUUGUUUGUUUCUCUGUUUUUUAAAGAAUGACGAACCCUGCAAAACUGUGAGUGCAAAAUCCAGUACUCUCCUCACUACUGAUUUUCUUGAGGAUUCUUUGGUUCCACUGUUGACAAUUGCAUUGAGGCUUCAAAUGAUGGAAUAAAUAGUCAAAAGCCAACAGCACAGAAAAUGGCUAAGGUCUGUUUCUCAUCUGCCUUCUCUGAUGAGAGCUAGAGAAGGUUCAGAGCAGUAGUGAUUGUCAAAGGUUCUGACCAGCUUCUCUGUAACAGCAGAUAGAUAUUGGACUUUUUUUUUUCCUUUGCCACUAAGAAAGGAUGGAUGAAAGUCUUAUGCUACAGGCCAUGAGAA
Oxyura jamaicensis (ruddy duck) is the source of this 817-nucleotide long non-coding RNA. RefSeq lists it as uncharacterized. The record is from RefSeq and is a predicted model, not a curated record. The transcript has 3 exons. NCBI's taxonomy places the organism in Eukaryota, Metazoa, Chordata, Aves, Anseriformes, Anatidae.